GAUGAACGCUGGCGGCGUGCCUAAUACAUGCAAGUCGAGCGAACGGACGAGAAGCUUGCUUUUCUGAUGUUAGCGGCGGGCGGGUGAGUAACACGUGGAUAACCUACCUAUAAGACUGGGAUAACUUCGGGAAACCGGAGCUAAUACCGGAUAAUAUUUUGAACCGCAUGGUGCAAAAGUGAAAGACGGUCUUGCUGUCACUUAUAGAUGGAUCCGCGCUGCAUUAGCUAGUUGGUAAGGUAACGGCUUACCAAGGCAACGAUGCAUAGCCGACCUGGGAGGGUGAUAGGCCGCCCUGGAACUGAGACACGGUCAAGACUCCUACGGGACGCAGCAGUAGGCAAUCUUCCGCAAUGGGCGGAAGCCUGACGGAGCAACGCCGCGUGAGUGAUGAAGGUCUUCGGAUCGUAAAACUCUGUUAUUAGGUAAGAACAUAUGUGUCAGUAACUGUGCACAUCUUGACGGUACCUAAUCAGAAAGCCCCGGCUAACUACGUG
RNAcentral lists this ribosomal RNA (497 nucleotides) under uncultured bacterium. Its description in RNAcentral is "partial 16S ribosomal RNA". It matches the Rfam family "Bacterial small subunit ribosomal RNA", at positions 28 to 507 of the family's 1533-position model. The record is from RNAcentral.